AAUGAACGUUGGCGGCGUGGAUUAGGCAUGCAAGUCGAGCGUGUACCCCGCAAGGGGGAAAGCGGCGUAAGGGAGAGUAAUACGUAGAUACGUGCCUCCGGGUCUGGGAUAGCCACGGGAAACUGUGGGUAAUACCGGAUAAUGUCUGAGGACCAAAAGUGUGAUUCCACCUGGAGAUCGGUCUGCGUCCUAUCAUGCUUGUUGGUGAGGUAACGGCUCACCAAGGCUACGACGGGUACGGGGAGUGAGAGCUUGCCCCCGCUCACUGGGACUGAGACACUGCCCAGACACCUACGGGUGGCUGCAGUCGAGGAUCUUCGGCAAUGGGCGCAAGCCUGACCGAGCGACGCCGCGUGCGGGAUGAAGGCCUUCGGGUUGUAAACCGCUGUCAGUGGGGAGGAAGGCUCCGUGAAGAACGGGGUUUGACCUAUCCGCAGAGGAAGUGUGGGCUAAGUUCGUGCCAGCAGCCGCCGUAA
RNAcentral lists this ribosomal RNA (476 nucleotides) under uncultured bacterium. RNAcentral describes it as "partial 16S ribosomal RNA". It matches the Rfam family "Bacterial small subunit ribosomal RNA", at positions 28 to 523 of the family's 1533-position model. The record is from RNAcentral.